This 472-nucleotide ribosomal RNA is filed under the name bacterium 1611-S6-05-3.2. RNAcentral describes it as "bacterial SSU rRNA". It matches the Rfam family "Bacterial small subunit ribosomal RNA", at positions 59 to 511 of the family's 1533-position model. The record is from RNAcentral.
CAGUCGAGCGGAACGAGUUAUCUGAACCUUCGGGGAACGAUAACGGCGUCGAGCGGCGGACGGGUGAGUAAUGCCUAGGAAAUUGCCCUGAUGUGGGGGAUAACCAUUGGAAACGAUGGCUAAUACCGCAUAAUACCUACGGGUCAAAGAGGGGGACCUUCGGGCCUCUCGCGUCAGGAUAUGCCUAGGUGGGAUUAGCUAGUUGGUGAGGUAAUGGCUCACCAAGGCGACGAUCCCUAGCUGGUCUGAGAGGAUGAUCAGCCACACUGGAACUGAGACACGGUCCAGACUCCUACGGGAGGCAGCAGUGGGGAAUAUUGCACAAUGGGCGCAAGCCUGAUGCAGCCAUGCCGCGUGUGUGAAGAAGGCCUUCGGGUUGUAAAGCACUUUCAGUCGUGAGGAAGGUAGUAUAGUUAAUAGCUGUAUCAUUUGACGUUAGCGACAGAAGAAGCACCGGCUAACUCCGUGCCAG